CCCUUAGACGUUCUGGGCCGCACGCGCGCUACACUGACGAAGGCAACGAGCUUUCCUUUACCGAAAGGUACGGGUAAUCUUUUGAAACUUCGUCGUGCUGGGGAUAGAUCCUUGCAAUUAUUGAUCUUAAACGAGGAAUUCCUAGUAAGCGCAAGUCAUCAACUUGCGUUGAUUACGUCCCUGCCCUUUGUACACACCGCCCGUCACUACUACCGAUUGAAUGGUUUAGUGAGGCCUUCGGAUCCGCGACUCGUUUUGUGGAGAAGUUGGACAAACUCAGUCAUUUAGAGGAAGUAAAAGUCGUAACA
RNAcentral lists this ribosomal RNA (308 nucleotides) under uncultured eukaryote. RNAcentral describes it as "partial 18S ribosomal RNA". It matches the Rfam family "Eukaryotic small subunit ribosomal RNA", at positions 1470 to 1796 of the family's 1831-position model. The record is from RNAcentral.